AACGAACGCUGGCGGCGCGUCUUAAGCAUGCAAGUCGAACGGCAAGAUUGGUGCUUGCACCGAUCCUAGAGUGGCGGACUGGUGAGUAACGCGUGGGUGACGUACCCUUCAGUUGGGGAUAGCUACUAGAAAUAGUAGAUAAUACCGAAUACGAUUCCUAUUGUUAGAGGGUAGGAAUGAAAGGAGCUAAGGCUUUGCUGAAGGAACGGCCCGCGUACCAUUAGCUAGUUGGUGUGGUAACGGCAUACCAAGGCGGUGAUGGUUACCCGGCCUAAGAGGGUGAUCGGGCACAUUGGGACUGAGAUACGGCCCAG
This 314-nucleotide ribosomal RNA is filed under the name uncultured bacterium. RNAcentral's name for it is "bacterial SSU rRNA". It matches the Rfam family "Bacterial small subunit ribosomal RNA", at positions 29 to 334 of the family's 1533-position model. The record is from RNAcentral.